Aedes albopictus (Asian tiger mosquito) is the source of this 77-nucleotide non-coding RNA. Lineage: Eukaryota; Metazoa; Arthropoda; Insecta; Diptera; Culicidae. The record is from Rfam.
UGUUCUGUGGCGGAGUUGGUUAACGCGCCCUGUCUAGCGAACUUGGGGAGACGUGGGUUCAAAUCCCACCAGAGCUA